UGAAAUAUAUCAGAGGUAGUUGUUUUUUCUAUUCCUUAUCUCUUCUUUCUUCUUCUCGCCGGACCAAAUCGAACACAGAAAAGAGAAAAGACUUCGCCCCAAAUCAAACUCAACCCUAAGUCCCCAAAAUCAAAUCUAGGAGGAGAAGUGGAGAACUCAGUCAAUUGGAUUUUUAACGAAACCCCUUUAUCCUAUUCUUGCUCCAUCUCCCUCUAAUACCUCAAGUUCGGGUUCUUGCUAACGGUAUUGAAGUGAAGCUACAUAGGAAUUCCCUUAGUGUGAUUGAACCACCUACAGCCUUGAGGAAGAUGAUGAUUUAUAAUGCAAGAACACACAAUGGAAUGUUUCAGAUAUGGAGAUUUUUUGUAUUGCAGGGAUAUUUGAUGAUCUUAGAGCAUAUUCCAUAAUCAUAGAUGACGAUUGAAUAACAAGGUUACAUGAAGAACAUAGAAUUAUGCUGGGAUUAAUCGUAGCAUCAAGCCCCUGCGAAGAGUUUUCCACCAUUGGAGUUUCUUAUUGUAUUUCUGUGUUGUUAGUUGGGUUCUGCUUUGACCCCCUCCAGAUUUUGAAAAGAACAGAAGUUUUGUUUCUUGAGACUACAAAUGGCUUUGUGCCUAGCAAAAUGCUUUUGUGUAGUUUGGAAGUACCAUUGGUAUACAUGUAGAUGGCUUUUAUUUU
Papaver somniferum (opium poppy) is the source of this 678-nucleotide long non-coding RNA. RefSeq lists it as uncharacterized. The transcript is spliced from 3 exons. NCBI's taxonomy places the organism in Eukaryota, Viridiplantae, Streptophyta, Magnoliopsida, Ranunculales, Papaveraceae. The record is from RefSeq and is a predicted model, not a curated record.